AAACGAUAGACCUCAGAGCAGGUGAGACUACCCCCUGAAUUUAAGCAUA
This 49-nucleotide ribosomal RNA is filed under the name Lepidapion cretaceum. Its description in RNAcentral is "partial 28S ribosomal RNA". The record is from RNAcentral. Lineage: Eukaryota; Metazoa; Arthropoda; Insecta; Coleoptera; Brentidae.